RNAcentral lists this ribosomal RNA (543 nucleotides) under uncultured fungus. Its description in RNAcentral is "eukaryotic LSU rRNA". The stretch from base 199 to 352 matches the Rfam family "5.8S ribosomal RNA". Lineage: Eukaryota; Fungi. The record is from RNAcentral.
AAGUCGUAACAAGGUCUUCGUAGGUGAACCUGCGAAGGGAUCAUUACCGAGUGAGGGCCCCCGGCCCGACCUCCAACCCUUUGUUGAACUUCCGCGUUGCCUCGGGGGGCGACCCGGCCUUCGUGCCGGGACCCCCGAUGGACCCAACCAAAACUCUUUGCAUUGUCGUGCGUCGGAGUAUUAAAGUAAAUCAAUCAAAACUUUCAACAACGGAUCUCUUGGUUCUGGCAUCGAUGAAGAACGCAGCGAAAUGCGAUAAGUAAUGUGAAUUGCAGAAUUCAGUGAAUCAUCGAAUCUUUGAACGCACAUUGCGCCCUUUGGUAUUCCGAAGGGCAUGCCCGUUCGAGCGUCAUUUCACCAAUCAAGCCUGGCUUGGUGUUGGGCCCCGGGGAGACCCGGGCCCCAAAGUUCGCCGGCCGGACGUCCCGGAUCUCAGCGUUGUGGCAUCAAAACCCGCGGAGAGAUGGGGCGGCCGCGCCGUCACAAAACCCAUUUUCAUGAAAGGUUGACCUCGGAUCGGGUAGGGAUACCCGCUGAACUUAA